RNAcentral lists this ribosomal RNA (395 nucleotides) under uncultured bacterium. RNAcentral's name for it is "bacterial SSU rRNA". It matches the Rfam family "Bacterial small subunit ribosomal RNA", at positions 142 to 518 of the family's 1533-position model. The record is from RNAcentral.
AGUAACAUCCGGAAACGGGUGCUAAUACCGCAUAGUUUUCUUGAUCGCAUGAUCGGGAAAGGAAAGACGGCCUUUGUGCUGUCGCUUAUGGAUGGACCCGCGGCGUAUUAGUUAGUUGGUGAGGUAACGGCUCACCAAGACGAUGAUACGUAGCCGACCUGAGAGGGUGAUCGGCCACAUUGGGACUGAGACACGGCCCAAACUCCUACGGGAGGCAGCAGUAGGGAAUCUUCCGCAAUGGACGAAAGUCUGACGGAGCAACGCCGCGUGAGUGAAGAAGGUUUUUUCCGGAUCGUAAAACUCUGUUGUCAGAGAAGAACAAGUUGGAGAGUAACUGCUCCAGCCUUGACGGUAUCUGACCAGAAAGCCACGGCUAACUACGUGCCAGCAGCUGC